RNAcentral lists this ribosomal RNA (497 nucleotides) under uncultured bacterium. RNAcentral describes it as "partial 16S ribosomal RNA". It matches the Rfam family "Bacterial small subunit ribosomal RNA", at positions 28 to 507 of the family's 1533-position model. The record is from RNAcentral.
GAUGAACGCUGGCGGCGUGCCUAAUACAUGCAAGUCGAGCGAACAGAUGAGGAGCUUGCUCCUCUGACGUUAGCGGCGGACGGGUAAGUAACACGUGGAUAACCUACCUAUAAGACUGGGAUAACUACGGGAAACCGGAGCUAAUACCGGAUAAUAUAUUGAACCGCAUGGUUCAAUAGUGAAAGACGGUUUUGCUGUCACUUAUAGAUGGAUCCGCGCCGCAUUAGCUAGUUGGUAAGGUAACGGCUUACCAAGGCAACGAUGCGUAGCCGACCUGAGAGGGUGAUCGGCCACACUGGAACUGAGACACGGUCCAGACUCCUACGGGAGGCAGCAGUAGGGAAUCUUCCGCAAUGGGCGAAAGCCUGACGGAGCAACGCCGCGUGAGUGAUGAAGGUCUUCGGAUCGUAAAACUCUGUUAUUAGGGAAGAACAAAUGUGUAAGUAACUAUGCACGUCUUGACGGUACCUAAUCAGAAAGCCACGGCUAACUACGUG